AAUCAACGCUGGCGGCGUGCCUCAGACAUGCAAGUCGAACGCGAAAGGCUCCUUCGGGGGCCGAGUAGAGUGGCGCACGGGUGAGUAACACGUAGGUAAUUUGCCUUUGGGUGGGGAAUAACUCAGGGAAACUUGAGCUAAUACCGCAUAAUGCAGCGGCUCGACAUCGAGACAGUUGUUAAAGCGGGGGAUCGCAAGACCUCGCGCCUGAAGAGAAAGCCUGCGGCAGAUUAGCUAGUUGGUAGGGUAAUGGCCUACCAAGGCGACGAUCUGUAACCGGCCUGAGAGGGCGGUCGGUCACACUGACACUGACAUACGGGUCAGACUCCUACGGGAGGCAGCAGUCGGGAAUUUUGGGCAAUGGGCGCAAGCCUGACCCAGCAACGCCGCGUGAAGGAUGAAAUCCCUC
This 409-nucleotide ribosomal RNA is filed under the name uncultured bacterium. Its description in RNAcentral is "bacterial SSU rRNA". It matches the Rfam family "Bacterial small subunit ribosomal RNA", at positions 32 to 419 of the family's 1533-position model. The record is from RNAcentral.